AUGCUCACAAAGUAACUGUGAAAUGCUUGAUAUGUUAGCCAUAUCACAGCCAGCUUUGAUGAGCGUUA
Non-coding RNA from Cinara cedri, 68 nucleotides. Lineage: Eukaryota; Metazoa; Arthropoda; Insecta; Hemiptera; Aphididae. The record is from the annotation of a GenBank genome assembly.